CGUCACACCAUUUCCCAGCCUG
This 22-nucleotide non-coding RNA is filed under the name Arabidopsis thaliana (thale cress). Lineage: Eukaryota; Viridiplantae; Streptophyta; Magnoliopsida; Brassicales; Brassicaceae. The record is from RNAcentral.